This 332-nucleotide ribosomal RNA is filed under the name uncultured eukaryote. Its description in RNAcentral is "partial 18S ribosomal RNA". It matches the Rfam family "Eukaryotic small subunit ribosomal RNA", at positions 1470 to 1796 of the family's 1831-position model. The record is from RNAcentral.
CCCUUAGAUGUCCUGGGCUGCACGCGCGCUACACUGGAAGUUACGGAUUGAGAUACUACCUUGUCCGAAAUGGUCCGGGUAAUCACCUAAAAGCUUGUCAUGAUUGGAAUGGAUUAUUGUAACUAGUAAUCCUGAACGAGGAAUUCCUAGUAAGUCCCAGUCAACAGCUGGUACUGAUUACGUCCCUGCCCUUUGUACACACCGCCCGUCGCUACUACUGAUUGGACGUUUAAGCAAGAUUUUUAAACACUGACAGUGUGUAGUUCACGCUAUACUACAGUGAGAAGAAGAAGAUCGAGCUUACUUGUCUAGAGGAAGUAAAAGUCGUAACA